RNAcentral lists this ribosomal RNA (501 nucleotides) under uncultured bacterium. RNAcentral's name for it is "partial 16S ribosomal RNA". It matches the Rfam family "Bacterial small subunit ribosomal RNA", at positions 29 to 523 of the family's 1533-position model. The record is from RNAcentral.
AUUGAACGCUGGCGGCAUGCCUUACACAUGCAAGUCGAACGGCAGCACGGGUGCUUGCACCUGGUGGCGAGUGGCGAACGGGUGAGUAAUACAUCGGAACGUACCUUAUCGUGGGGGAUAACGCAGCGAAAGCUGUGCUAAUACCGCAUACGCCCUGAGGGGGAAAGCGGGGGAUCGCAAGACCUCGCGCGAUUAGAGCGGCCGAUGCCUGAUUAGCUUGUUGGUGGGGUAAAAGCCCACCAAGGCGACGAUAAGGAGCUGGUCUGAGAGGACGAUCAGCCACACUGGGACUGAGACACGGCCCAGACUCCUACGGGAGGCAGCAGUGGGGAAUUUUGGACAAUGGGGGCAACCCUGAUCCAGCAAUGCCGCGUGAGUGAAGAAGGCCUUCGGGUUGUAAAGCUCUUUUGUCAGGGAAGAAACACCGGCUCUAACACAGUCCGGGAAUGACGGUACCUGAAGAAUAAGCACCGGCUAACUACGUGCCAGCCGCCGCGGUAA